AGUGCUCAAAUCCAUGAUCUACAUAGGUGGAGAACUUCAGUAGAGGAAGUGGCAGGAAUUUGGGAAUGAGGAGCACAGUGAUUAAACUGGGGCCAUUCAUAUGAGAGUUUAAGAACUCAGACCAGUGACUUAGAUUGGCUUCUCUCACAUGGCAAGAAACAUUGCUGCUAGCACUUCCCGAGUUCUACGUUCUACAACAUCCACCACUGGAUCUUAACAUAGACGUAAGAUCAAAUGCAAUAGCAUGUCAAACAAUGUGUAACUCCAGUUAUACAAACAUUACUGUAUCUCAUUGGGGAUACGAAGCUCUACACACUUGAAGAUGG
This 326-nucleotide long non-coding RNA is filed under the name Homo sapiens (human). RNAcentral describes it as "non-protein coding CDKN2B-AS1:33". The record is from RNAcentral. Lineage: Eukaryota; Metazoa; Chordata; Mammalia; Primates; Hominidae.